GAUGAACGCUGGCGGCGUGCCUAAUACAUGCAAGUCGAGCGAACGGACGAGAAGCUUGCUUCUCUGAUGUUAGCGGCGGACGGGUGAGUAACACGUGGAUAACCUACCUAUAAGACUGGGAUAACUUCGGGAAACCGGAUCUAAUACCGGAUAAUAUUUUGAGCCGCAUGGUUCAAAAGUGAAAGACGGUCUUGCUGUCACUUAUAGAUGGAUCCGCGCUGCAUUAGCUAGUUGGUAAGGUAACGGCUUACCAAGGCAACGAUGCGUAGCCGACCUGAGAGGGUGAUCAGCCACACUGGAACUGAGACACGGUCCAGACUCCUACGGGAGGCAGCAGUAGGGAAUCUUCCGCAAUGGGCGAAAGCCUGACGGAGCAACGCCGCGUGAGUGAUGAAGGUCUUCGGAUCGUAAAACUCUGUUAUUAGGGAAGAACAUAUGUGUGAGUAACUGUGCACGUCUUGACGGUACCUAAUCAGAAAGCCACGGCUAACUACGUG
Molecule: ribosomal RNA, 497 nt
Filed under: uncultured bacterium
Lineage: Bacteria
Description: partial 16S ribosomal RNA
Rfam family: Bacterial small subunit ribosomal RNA
Source: RNAcentral